UUUCGCGAGACAGAGAGAGAUCCGUGAACGACGAUCGCGACGUACGAGAUCGGCUCGCGCGUAUUCGUUCGUGUUGUUCGAAAUAAACGUCCAGCCUGACGAGCUGGAAGGUGGGAAAUAGUAAAAAAGAAAGGAAAGGAUCUGUUGCAAGAACAACGAUACAGGUAGGUUCGCUCGCCGAAGACGAAAGUCACAGCAAGUCGAUCGAGAAAUAGAGUGUGUGUGUGUGAGUCCGAUCGCGGGAUCCCGUGGUGGCGACGGACAAGCAGAUACGAGAAAGAGGGAGAGAAAGAGAGGGAGCGAAAGAACGCGAAGUGAAUAACGGCGCGCGCGCGCGCGCGCUCGAUAUCGCCAACGUCGUUUGCGAUCGUCGUCCUCGUCGUACACAAAACCGUUGGCGUAGUCAAUCGGUGAUCGCGCGCGUCGUUCGCUGAGCGCCGGUAAAGCGCGCAGCGGAAACACAGUUUCACGGAUCGGGACCUUUGCGCGCGCGCACGGCAGGGAGGAAGGGGGGGAGGUCGGUGCGCGAGGCGCCGCGCCGGAACGAGAGGCGAGACGGCCGUCGUCGUUGCCCGCCGCCGCCACCACCGCCACCACCACCAUCGUCAUCACCACCGUCGUUGCGACUAACACCAUUAGCAUCACCAAUACCACACCACUAUCGUCGUUAGCUUAGACACGAAUAGUGGUGAGCAGUGGCAGCAGUCGUACAACUACCACCACAAACAUCGUCACAAUCCGUUGCCACCGUCACGAAGAUUGCCGCGAUCCACACACACCGAUCGCAGUCGUGGCGACAUUCGGAGGUGCGUGAAGGGAAUAGAGUACGUGUACAACCAGUAUAACGGGUAGUACGGGUACUCGAGUCGCGUACUUAGCUAUUUAAUAAUACGGAGGGUGGAAUAUAUGCUGUGGGCGUCCCCCGUACGAGUGGGGGCACUUGAUGGCCGCAGAAAUUGGGCGAACUGCGAGCAAACAUCUAUCGUCGGAGUGUGGUAAAGCGACGUCGCUGUCGAGUGGCGACGUGAGCUUCGAUAGUAGCCGGGUAAUCAUAGGAACGGAACAGCGGCAGCAGUCGCAACAAUCGCAUUAUCAGCAACGUCAAUUGUCGCCGUCGUCGCAGCAGCAGCAGCAACAACAGGAUCGGACUUCACCUGCUACUACGGUACAGAUCAGAAAGGCGCUCGGUAAAACGACUCCUCCUCCUUCUCCUCCUUCUUACCGGAAUCGCGUACCGUUUGCGACCGCGCAGCUAGCAGCGGAGAACAAUCAGCAACAGCAGCAGGCGCUGAUCAACCCAACCAACGUAACCUCGACGGCGGAGGCCGUCAACGAGGUACCCGGCGCCAUCAAAACGACCAUCAACAUCGGCUUCGCGAUGAACCACGUAAACGAUCAGGAGAAUCUCAAGCAGCUUAGCCUCGCACCCAUUCAGGUUAACGAGGUCGAAGAGAUGGACACACAGGAGGAAACCCCAAAUGAUGGUGGGGGAGACGGAACUGACAACCGUCCUAUAAAUGGUGAACCAGAAUUAGCUUGUAUAGUUCAAGAUCAAGAAAUGGAGGAAGAUGAGGCCCGAUCAGAAGCUACUUUUCGAUAUACUGUUGAGAAUAUAUCUAAGAUGAAAGAUUCACAAUUGUCUCCUGCAUGUUAUGUUCGUAAUUUACCAUGGAAAAUAAUGGUGAUGCCACGAUCAAGUCAAACACAAGAGAGACAACCACAAAGAUCUCUUGGAUUUUUCCUUCAGUGUAAUGGAGAGAGCGAAUCCACGUCUUGGAGUUGUUACGCUGUUGCUGAGCUACGUCUUCUUUCUUGCAAAGAAGGACAAGAACCAUUUAGCAGAAAAAUUCAACACCUCUUCUACAGUAAAGAGAAUGACUGGGGCUUUAGUCAUUUUAUGACAUGGCAAGAUGUUCUAGAUCCUGAUAGAGGUUUCAUAAAAGACGAUUCAAUCACUCUUGAGGUUCAUGUAGUGGCUGACGCACCUCAUGGAGUUAGUUGGGACAGUAAAAAACACACAGGAUAUGUAGGCUUGAAAAAUCAGGGUGCUACAUGUUAUAUGAAUUCUUUAUUGCAAACUCUUUAUUUUACAAAUCAAUUGCGAAAGGCAGUAUACAAAAUGCCAACAGAGAGCGACGAUUCGAGUAAGAGUGUUGCACUAGCCUUACAAAGGGUAUUUCAUGAAUUACAGUUUUCCGACAAACCUGUCGGUACAAAGAAAUUGACCAAAAGUUUUGGAUGGGAAACGCUGGAUUCUUUCAUGCAGCAUGAUGUGCAGGAAUUUUUACGAGUGCUAUUAGACAAGUUGGAGAGCAAAAUGAAGGGAACGUGCGUGGAAGGUACAGUGCCAAAAUUGUUUGAAGGAAAAAUGGUCUCUUUUAUCAAGUGUAAAAAUAUAGACUAUAAAUCCACAAGAGUUGAAACAUUUUAUGACAUACAGUUAAAUAUAAAGGGCAAGAAAAACAUUUACGAGUCUUUUAGUGAUUAUGUGAGUACAGAAAGUCUCGACGGCGAUAAUAAAUACGAUGCAGGAGAACACGGAUUACAAGAAGCGGAAAAAGGCGUCAUCUUUUCAUCAUUUCCACCAGUUUUACAUCUACAUUUAAUGCGUUUUCAAUAUGAUCCAGUUACGGAUUGUUCAGUCAAAUUUAACGACAGGUUUGAAUUUUAUGAGAAAAUUAGUCUUGGAAAAUACCUGCAGAACAAAGAAGCGACAAGUGCGGAUUACACAUUACACGCUGUUCUGGUUCAUAGUGGCGAUAAUCAUGGAGGACAUUAUGUUGUAUUUAUUAAUCCCGCUGGCGAUGGCAGGUGGUGUAAGUUCGACGACGAUGUUGUCUCACGAUGUACAAAGCAGGAAGCUAUUGAACAUAACUACGGUGGUCAAGACGAGGAUAUGUCUAUGGCUGUGAAACAUUGCACUAACGCUUAUAUGUUAGUUUACAUAAGAAAUUCAGAGCUGGAAAACGUUUUGCAAGAGGUCAAGGAAGAGGACAUACCUCAAGAGCUGGUGGAGAGGCUGCAAGAGGAGAAGAGGCUGGAACAAAUAAGAAGAAAGGAAAGAACGGAAGCAUACUUGUACAUGACCGUCAAUGUCCUUCUCGAGGAUAGCUUUGACGGUCACCAAGGAAAUGAUCUCUACGACCCAGAGCACGCUUUAUAUCGUGUAUUUCGCGUACGUAAGCAGGCCACUGUGCACGAGUUUCUCGAGCUACUGAGCGAUAGUCUGAAAUAUCCAAUAGAACAGAUACGCGUUUGGCCCUUCAGUACACGUUCAAAUCAAACCUGUAGACCUACGAUAAUUGAAUCGGACGCCGAUCUUCAAAAGCCUAUCAUUGACUGCGCGGAAAAUCACAAUCCGUGGAACGUUUUUGUUGAACUUGUACCUCCAGACUCUGAUAUGACAGCGUUACCGCCUUUCGACAAGGACACUGAUGUUUUACUCUUUUUUAAACUAUACGAUCCUAAAAAUAAAAAAAUUCAUUACUGCGGUCAUCACUAUAUGCCUGUUGUAGCUAAAGUCCAGGAGCUUAUACCAAUUUUAAACGAACGCGCCGGAUUCCCACCAGAUACAGAACUCGCUUUAUAUGAGGAAAUUAAACCGAAUUUAGUUGAAAAAAUAGAUAACUUGUCGGAGCCUUUAGAAAAAGUUCUGGAGGAAUUAAUGGACGGUGACAUUAUUGUAUUUCAAAAAGAAGGAGACAAUGAAAUGUAUGAACUUCCAACGUGUCGAGAAUAUUUUAAAGAUCUAUUCUAUAGGGUAGAAGUAACAUUUUGUGAUAAAUUGAUUCCAAACGAUCCAGGUUUUACAAUAGAACUUUCACUGAGAAUGACGUAUGAUCAAAUGGCAAAAGCUGUAGCGCAACGAGUCGGCACAGAUCCGUAUCUUUUACAAUUCUUUAAAUGUCAAAAUUAUAAAGAUUCUCCCGGCCAUCCUUUAAAGUGUACAUUCGACGGCACGCUUAAAGAACUGGUUGCAUAUUGCAAAACGAAAGUAAAGAAAUUAUUUUAUCAGCAGCUCAGUAUUAGGGUGAACGAGCUAGAAAAUAAGAAACAGUUCAAAUGCAUAUGGGUAGGACCGUCGCUUAAAGAGGAGAAAGAAAUGAUCCUUUACCCAAAUAAAAAUGGUACCGUUGCUAAUUUACUUGAGGAGGCUAAGAAGCAAGUAGAAUUAUCGGAAAAUGGUUCAGGGAAAUUAAGGAUAUUAGAAAUGACUUGCAACAAACUAUCACCUGGCCCUGGGGAUGAAACACCUUUAGAUCACUUAAACACAUCAGGUACCAAAUUGUAUAGGAUAGAAGAAAUACCACUUGACGAAGUGAAUCUAGCGGAGGGUGAAAUGCUAGUUCCUGUUGCACAUUUUCACAAAGAGGUUUUCUCAACAUUUGGUAUACCUUUCUUCUUUAAGAUCAAACAUGGUGAACCUUUUCCCAAGAUGAAGGAUAGGUUGUUGAAAAAAUUAGGAGUUCAGGAGAAAGAAUUCGAAAAGUUUAAGUUCGCGGUGGUGACAAUGGGCAAGCCGCAAUUCAUUAUUGACUCGCCGGACUCUUGUAUCAAAAUCGAGGAUUUCCUUCCCAGAUAUACCAGUCAGAUCUAUCCACUUUUAAACACAGGCACAUCGCCACAUAGGCCUUGGCUUGGCCUGGAACACGUCAACAAAGCGCCGAAACGCUCUCGCAUCAACUACCUCGAAAAGGCCAUUAAGAUAUACAAUUAAAUUUCCAUCAUACGAAGAAAAAAUUAAAUUAGGCAGCCACUCAUAAUAAUUUAUACGUAUUCUGUAUAGUAAGAGAGCGACGUCUGAUAUAUUGAAGGUUGGAAAAAUGCGUUCAUAUUCGUUUCUUCAGCCAGAUUAAACAUGCAAUUUUAAUACUGCAAGAAUGACAUCGAAAGCAAGUAUCUCGUGCGGUGAAUCACUCACGACAAGGUAACCUGUGUCUUGUGCAAGAUCUGUCGUUUGCGGAUCCUUAUUUAUCAUUUUCUACACUUUACUGUGAUCAACUUAACUUAGCCAACAUGUAUUGAAAGACCACGCCGGCUCUCGAACAUUUGAAAUAGCAUAAUUGUAAAUGUCAAGGAAGAUGCUAUGUGAGCUUUCUACAUUACUUAAUAAAUUUCUUUUUAAGUUGAGGAACUGUUUACUAUGGUCGUAAGAUUGUAAUGAGAUCCGUUAAAUUCGUAAAUUUUGACGUAAUUAGUUAAACUAUUUAAAAUUCUUUUGAACGUUCAAAAAUUAUUGAAUUACAGACUACGAGAACAUCGCAAGAGAAUCGUUUCGAAGAAAUACGAGCAAAAUUCAUAGUACGAGAAUGAUAUACCAAUAUACAUAAACAUGAAUUAUCUGCUAAGGUUUUAACGGACUUGCGAGGCAAUUCAUCAGAAGUGAUGAUGCGUUGUCUGAUCUAUUAAUAAUAAUAUAACUAGAAGAAAUCUAUAACAGUGGUGUUUGAAAAAGACUGGACGCAUAAGUUAAGCAAGAGUGGCACGCACGCAGAAUAUUUUGUAAAAAGGAAUUUUAAUGUGGCUGUAUAGACUGAUCGAUAAUGGCGUAUCUAAUUAAUCAUAAUCUCAAUAUCGUGUAUCUAAAGAAAGCUGUUCCAAAUGAUGUUUUGUGGAUGCCAAGUAUUUUCCUUUUGCUACUUAUUAUAUACAUAUACACACGCUCGUGCGCGCACGCACACAUUUGUGGAUCCAUUCAGAAUAAUUUAGCGGCAUGCUUGUUAAGUGUGUUGUCAAGGUGGAUGCGAGAAAGAGAGAGAUAGAGAGAAACUGUAUGUGUGUGAGUAUCAUAAAUUUCAAAUUGAGUUGUAAGAAGCAUCAUCACAGAUUUGAUUACUGAAGAGAUAUUUCCCACAAACACAGUUGAGAUACAAGUACCUGUCUUUGAAUGCUAAAGAUUGGUGUUUACAAAUCGUUAUAUUAUAAUCGCGACUAUAUUUUUUUCCUUUAGCGCUAUUCUUUUUAGGCAAAAGGGAUUAAUCACUUCACAAAGAGUCUGUCGAAUCGCAAUUGAAAAGUAAACACUGACGAUAGAUCUCACGGUGGAAGCAGUAGUAAUGAUAUUUUAUUUCUCUCUGCGAGAGAAGAAUAAAAUAGUAAGGUGGAAAUUCUUGUAAACAUGAACGUAGCGGAAAAUUAUAACGAAUCAUGCAUUUUUUCAAAUUAUUACACAUACGUUUGUAUGUAUAUAUUUUAUAUAUAUAUAU
Molecule: RNA transcript, 6206 nt
Organism: Cyphomyrmex costatus
Lineage: Eukaryota; Metazoa; Arthropoda; Insecta; Hymenoptera; Formicidae
Gene: Usp7
Gene name: Ubiquitin-specific protease 7
Exons: 19
Source: RefSeq, a predicted model, not a curated record